Molecule: small nuclear RNA, 249 nt
Filed under: Carlito syrichta (Philippine tarsier)
Lineage: Eukaryota; Metazoa; Chordata; Mammalia; Primates; Tarsiidae
Description: 7SK RNA (ENSTSYG00000025156.2)
Rfam family: 7SK RNA
About the family: 7SK was discovered as an abundant small nuclear RNA in the mid-70s but a possible function has only recently been suggested. Two independent studies have found that 7SK RNA binds the CDK9/cyclin T complex (known as elongation factor P-TEFb).
Source: Rfam by way of RNAcentral
UGAUCAGAGGCCAGUCUGACUGUCAUGUCUACCAUCAUGACUGAUCCUGGCUGAUUCAGCUGCUCUGGCAGAUUGGUCAGGAGACCCCUCAGUUCCUCACUCUUCCACGUGCAACCUGCCAAAGAUGUUUCCUUGGCUAAAGAGUUUGUAGCAGUCCUGAGAGAGAGCCUGUACUCUGAUGACGGGUGUCUGAGUAGCUGUCUCACCAGCUACAGCUUUUGAAUGAAAUGCUUUCAUCUUCAGUCUUCU